GACGUAGGGGGCCAGCGUUGUUCGGAAUUACUGGGUGUAAAGGGUUCGUAGGCGGUGUGGCAAGUCGGGAGUGAAAUCUCUGGGCUCAACUCAGAGACUGCUUCCGAAACUGCUGUGCUGGAGUGUGGGAGAGGCGCGUGGAAUUGCAGGUGUAGCGGUGAAAUGCGUAGAUAUCGGAAAGAACACCAACGGCGAAAGCACUCUGCUGGGCCGACACUGACACUGAGAGACGAAAGCUAGGGGAGCGAAUGGG
This 253-nucleotide ribosomal RNA is filed under the name uncultured bacterium. RNAcentral describes it as "partial 16S ribosomal RNA". It matches the Rfam family "Bacterial small subunit ribosomal RNA", at positions 524 to 776 of the family's 1533-position model. The record is from RNAcentral.